Molecule: ribosomal RNA, 245 nt
Filed under: uncultured bacterium
Lineage: Bacteria
Description: partial 16S ribosomal RNA
Rfam family: Bacterial small subunit ribosomal RNA
Source: RNAcentral
CUGGCGACCGGCGCACGGGUGAGUAACACGUAUCCAACCUGCCGAUAACUCGGGGAUAGCCUUUCGAAAGAAAGAUUAAUACCCGAUGGCAUAAUUAGACCGCAUGGUUUGAUUAUUAAAGAAUUUCGGUUAUCGAUGGGGAUGCGUUCCAUUAGGCAGUUGGUGAGGUAACGGCUCACCAAACCUUCGAUGGAUAGGGGUUCUGAGAGGAAGGUCCCCCACAUUGGAACUGAGACGCGGUCCAA